Molecule: ribosomal RNA, 232 nt
Filed under: uncultured bacterium
Lineage: Bacteria
Description: partial 16S ribosomal RNA
Rfam family: Bacterial small subunit ribosomal RNA
Source: RNAcentral
CGGACGGGUGAGUAAUGUCUGGGAAACUGCCUGAUGGAGGGGGAUAACUACUGGAAACGGUAGCUAAUACCGCAUAACGUCGCAAGACCAAAGAGGGGGACCUUCGGGCCUCUUGCCAUCGGAUGUGCCCAGAUGGGAUUAGCUAGUAGGUGGGGUAACGGCUCACCUAGGCGACGAUCCCUAGCUGGUCUGAGAGGAUGACCAGCCACACUGGAACUGAGACACGGUCCAA